ACUCUUCAACCCACCAGUUUCUUGUAGACUGAUUGGUGUUUGGAUUUUGAGCGUUGCUGGUCUUCGGAUCUAGCUCGUUCGUAAUAAAUUAGCAUCUCUAAUUCGAACUCGGAUUGACUCAGUGUAAUAGACUAUUCGCUGAGGACACGCUCUUGUAGUGUGGCCGAAUGAGAUCUCAGUAGAAGCUUCUAACUACUUUAGUCAACUUUAG
This 211-nucleotide unclassified non-coding RNA is filed under the name uncultured Leucosporidium. RNAcentral describes it as "sequence contains ITS2". Lineage: Eukaryota; Fungi; Basidiomycota; Microbotryomycetes; Leucosporidiales. The record is from RNAcentral.